AUUGAACGCUGGCGGCAGGCCUAACACAUGCAAGUCGAACGGUAACAGGAAGAAGCUUGCUUCUUUGCUGACGAGUGGCGGACGGGUGAGUAAUGUCUGGGAAACUGCCUGAUGGAGGGGGAUAACUACUGGAAACGGUAGCUAAUACCGCAUAAUGUCGCAAGACCAAAGAGGGGGACCUUCGGGCCUCUUGCCAUCGGAUGUGCCCAGAUGGGAUUAGCUAGUAGGUGGGGUAACGGCUCACCUAGGCGACGAUCCCUAGCUGGUCUGAGAGGAUGACCAGCCACACUGGAACUGAGACAGGGCCCAGACUCCUACGGGAGGCAGCAGUGGGGAAUAUUGCACAAUGGGCGAAAGCGUGAUGCAGCUAUCCCGGGUGUAGGAAGAAGUCUUUCGGGUUGUAAAGUACUUUGGGGGGGGAAGAAGGGAAAAAAGUUAAUACCUUUGCUCUUUGACGUUACCCGAAGAAGAAGCACCGGCUAACUCCGUG
RNAcentral lists this ribosomal RNA (490 nucleotides) under uncultured bacterium. Its description in RNAcentral is "partial 16S ribosomal RNA". It matches the Rfam family "Bacterial small subunit ribosomal RNA", at positions 30 to 507 of the family's 1533-position model. The record is from RNAcentral.